This 302-nucleotide ribosomal RNA is filed under the name uncultured bacterium. RNAcentral describes it as "bacterial SSU rRNA". It matches the Rfam family "Bacterial small subunit ribosomal RNA", at positions 775 to 1067 of the family's 1533-position model. The record is from RNAcentral.
GGAUUAGAUACCCUGGUAGUCCACGCCCUAAACGAUGGAUGCUAGGUGUGGGGAUUUUAUCUCCUUGCCGUAGCUAACGCAUUAAGCAUCCCGCCUGGGGAGUACGGUCGCAAGGCUGAAACUCAAAGGAAUUGGCGGGGGCCCGCACAAGCGGUGGAGCACGUGGUUUAAUUCGAUGAUAAGCGAAGAACCUUACCAGGACUUGACAUGUCUACCUAAGCCUAUGCGAAAGCAAUAGGUGGGGCUAAGCUUGCUUAGAAUGGUAUUCACAGGUGCUGCAUGGCUGUCGUCAGCUCGUGCCG